RNAcentral lists this transfer RNA (70 nucleotides) under Rattus norvegicus (Norway rat). The record is from Rfam by way of RNAcentral. Lineage: Eukaryota; Metazoa; Chordata; Mammalia; Rodentia; Muridae.
GGGGACUUAGCUCAGUGGUAGAGCGCUAGCCGCUAGCCCAGCAAGCGCAAGGCCCUGGGUUCAGUCCCCA